UGGGGGAUAUUGCACAAUGGGCGAAAGCCUGAUGCAGCGACGCCGCGUGGGGGAUGAAGGCUUUCGGGUUGUAAACCUCUUUCGCUAUCGAACAAGGCCCGCUUAGGGUGGGUUGAGGGUAGGUGGAGAAGAAGCGCCGGCUAACUACGUGCCAGCAGCCGCGGUAAUACGUAGGGCGCGAGCGUUGUCCGGAAUUAUUGGGCGUAAAGGGCUUGUAGGCGGCUUGUUGCGCCUGCUGUGAAAACGCGGGGCUUAACUUCGCGCGUGCAGUGGGUACGGGCAGGCUUGAGUGUGGUAGAGGUGACUGGAAUUCCAGGUGUAGCGGUGGAAUGCGCAGAUAUCUGGAGGAACACCGAUGGCGAAGGCAGGUCACUGGGCCAUUACUGACGCUGAGGAGCGAAAGCAUGGGUAGCGAACAGG
Molecule: ribosomal RNA, 420 nt
Filed under: bacterium
Lineage: Bacteria
Description: partial 16S ribosomal RNA
Rfam family: Bacterial small subunit ribosomal RNA
Source: RNAcentral